UACGUAGGUGGCAAGCGUUGUUCGGAAUUACUGGGCGUAAAGCGCACGUAGGCGGACUAUUAAGUCAGGGGUGAAAUCCCGGGGCUCAACCCCGGAACUGCCUUUGAUACUGGUAGUCUCGAGUCCGGAAGAGGUGAGUGGAAUUCCGAGUGUAGAGGUGAAAUUCGUAGAUAUUCGGAGGAACACCAGUGGCGAAGGCGGCUCACUGGUCCGGUACUGACGCUGAGGUGCGAAAGCGUGGGGAGCAAACAGG
Molecule: ribosomal RNA, 253 nt
Filed under: uncultured bacterium
Lineage: Bacteria
Description: partial 16S ribosomal RNA
Rfam family: Bacterial small subunit ribosomal RNA
Source: RNAcentral